This 337-nucleotide ribosomal RNA is filed under the name uncultured bacterium. RNAcentral's name for it is "partial 16S ribosomal RNA". The stretch from base 200 to 337 matches the Rfam family "Bacterial small subunit ribosomal RNA", at positions 1 to 138 of the family's 1533-position model. The record is from RNAcentral.
CAGGGAAAGCGGGGGAGGGGUUGACAGGGAUGAUUCGGAAGUGUAGGAUCAAACGGUUGACUCUUUCGGGGAGAAAAAAGCCCUGAAGAGAAAGACGCCCUGUGGAAACGCAGGGAGAGCGUCUCGGAUCAUUGACAACUAAAUAGGAGCAGCAACGUCCAAUUAAAGGGCCCUGAUCACGAAACACAGUAAUAAAAUGAAUCUGGAGAGUUUGAUCCUGGCUCAGAACGAACGCUGGCGGCGUGCCUAACACAUGCAAGUCCAACGUGAAAGGGGAGCAAUCCCCCGGUAGGGUGGCAAACGGGUGAGUAAUACAUGGGUGAUCUACCUUAGGGAU